GACGAACGCUGGCGGCGUGCUUAACACAUGCAAGUCGAACGGAAAGGCCCUGCUUUUGUGGGGUGCUCGAGUGGUGAACGGGUGAGUAACACGUGAGUAACCUGCCCUUGACUUUGGGAUAACUUCAGGAAACUGGGGCUAAUACCGGAUAGGAGCUCCUGCUGCAUGGUGGGGGUUGGAAAGUUUCGGCGGUUGGGGAUGGACUCGCGGCUUAUCAGCUUGUUGGUGGGGUAGUGGCUUACCAAGGCUUUGACGGGUAGCCGGCCUGAGAGGGUGACCGGCCACAUUGGGACUGAGAUACGGCCCAGACUCCUACGGGAGGCAGCAGUGGGGAAUAUGGCACAAUGGGCGGAAGCCUGAUGCAGCAACGCCGCGUGCGGGAUGACGGCCUUCGGGUUGUAAACCGCUUUCGCCUGUGACGAAGCGUGUGUGACGGUAAUGGGUAAAGAAGCACCGGCUAACUACGU
Molecule: ribosomal RNA, 467 nt
Filed under: uncultured bacterium
Lineage: Bacteria
Description: partial 16S ribosomal RNA
Rfam family: Bacterial small subunit ribosomal RNA
Source: RNAcentral